RNAcentral lists this ribosomal RNA (468 nucleotides) under uncultured bacterium. RNAcentral describes it as "partial 16S ribosomal RNA". It matches the Rfam family "Bacterial small subunit ribosomal RNA", at positions 28 to 507 of the family's 1533-position model. The record is from RNAcentral.
GAUGAACGCUGGCGGCGUGCUUAACACAUGCCAGUCGAACGGUGAAGGCGGAGCUUGCUCUGCUGGAUCAGUGGCGAACGGGUGAGUAACACGUGAGCAAUCUGCCCCUGACUCUGGGAUAAGCGCUGGAAACGGCGUCUAAUACUGGAUACGAGCUGCGAAGGCAUCUUCAGCAGCUGGAAAGAAUUUCGGUCAGGGAUGAGCUCGCGGCCUAUCAGCUUGUUGGUGAGGUAAUGGCUCACCAAGGCGUCGACGGGUAGCCGGCCUGAGAGGGUGACCGGCCACACUGGGACUGAGACACGGCCCAGACUCCUACGGGAGGCAGCAGUGGGGAAUAUUGCACAAUGGGCUAAAGCCUGAUGCAGCAACGCCGCGUGAGGGACGACGGCCUUCGGGUUGUAAACCUCUUUUAGCAGGGAAGAAGCGAAAGUGACGGUACCUGCAGAAAAAGCGCCGGCUAACUACGUG